CUUCCCCGGCCGGCUGCGCGAUGGGCUGCGGGAACUCCACCGCCACCAGCGCGGGCGCGG
Molecule: non-coding RNA, 60 nt
Filed under: Homo sapiens (human)
Lineage: Eukaryota; Metazoa; Chordata; Mammalia; Primates; Hominidae
Source: RNAcentral